Non-coding RNA from Pelobates cultripes (western spadefoot toad), 435 nucleotides. The record is from the annotation of a GenBank genome assembly. NCBI's taxonomy places the organism in Eukaryota, Metazoa, Chordata, Amphibia, Anura, Pelobatidae.
CCUGACUGGCCAAAACAGCAUUUGGCCACAUGCCAAUCCAAUGAUUUCCCUAUUUUUCCUAUGGGAAUGCAUUGGCCAUUUUGAUGAUGUCACAAAGGGGGCGGAGCCAAUGUGAGUUUUAAACUUUUAUAGGCAGGCUAACGGGGGGCGGGGAGGGGCAAGCCACCUAAAUGGAAGUUUAGCACUAUAGUGUCAGGAAUACAUGUUUGUGUUCCUGACCCUAUAGUGAUCCUUUAAAUCACUAUUUAUACAGCCCUGGUCACACCUCCUUGCUUGUGACUGAGCUUUUCUAAAACACUUCCUGUAUAGAGUCAUCUAAUGUUUACACUUGCUUUAUCAUCCAUAUGAAUUGCCCAUUCUGUAUUAACUCAAUGUUUUCGUUACGGUGGUUCCUCCCUCCCCAUGAUCUACUUCGAGGUGUUGCUCUCCGCCCAU